UACGGAGGGGGCAAGCGUUAUUCGGAAUUACUGGGCGUAAAGAGCGCGUAGGCGGCUUGUUAAGUCGUGGGUUUAAUUUCAGGGCUCAACCCUGGAGCUGCCUGCGAUACUGGCGAGCUAGAGUACUAGAGAGGGAAGUGGAAUUCCUAGUGUAGCGGUGAAAUGCGUAGAUAUCAGGAAGAACACCAACGGCGAAGGCAGCUCGCUAGGACGGUACUGACGCUGAGACGCGAAAGCGUGGGGAGCGAACAGG
This 253-nucleotide ribosomal RNA is filed under the name uncultured bacterium. RNAcentral's name for it is "partial 16S ribosomal RNA". It matches the Rfam family "Bacterial small subunit ribosomal RNA", at positions 524 to 776 of the family's 1533-position model. The record is from RNAcentral.